RNAcentral lists this ribosomal RNA (1225 nucleotides) under Caloscarta sp. JRC-2010. Its description in RNAcentral is "SSU rRNA". It matches the Rfam family "Eukaryotic small subunit ribosomal RNA", at positions 689 to 1789 of the family's 1831-position model. Lineage: Eukaryota; Metazoa; Arthropoda; Insecta; Hemiptera; Cercopidae. The record is from RNAcentral.
GUGUUCCACGCUGUCGGUUCGCCGCCCGUCGGUGUUAACUGGCAUGUCCUGUGGAACGUCCUGCCGGUGGCGGUCCGGGCGUUCGGCUUGCGUAAAGGCUUACGCCCGAAGCAGGUCGAGCAGUUCCGGCCGCCGGUCCAAUCCCGCCACGGUGCUCUUCACCGAGUGUCGAGGUGGGCCGGCACGUUUACUUUGAACAAAUUAGAGUGCUUAAAGCAGGCUGGUGUCCGCCUGAAUACUGUGUGCAUGGAAUAAUAGAAUAGGACCUCGGUUCUAUUUUGUUGGUUUUCGGAACCCGAGGUAAUGAUUAAUAGGGACAGGCGGGGGCAUUCGUAUUGCGACGUUAGAGGUGAAAUUCUUGGAUCGUCGCAAGACGAACCUAAGCGAAAGCAUUUGCCAAGUAUGUUCUCGUUAAUCAAGAACGAAAGUUAGAGGUUCGAAGGCGAUCAGAUACCGCCCUAGUUCUAACCAUAAACGAUGCCAGCCAGCGAUCCGCCGAAGUUCCUCCGAUGACUCGGCGGGCAGCUUCCGGGAAACCAAAGCUUUUGGGUUCCGGGGGAAGUAUGGUUGCAAAGCUGAAACUUAAAGGAAUUGACGGAAGGGCACCACCAGGAGUGGAGCCUGCGGCUUAAUUUGACUCAACACGGGAAACCUCACCAGGCCCGGACACCGGAAGGAUUGACAGAUUGAGAGCUCUUUCUUGAUUCGGUGGGUGGUGGUGCAUGGCCGUUCUUAGUUGGUGGAGCGAUUUGUCUGGUUAAUUCCGAUAACGAACGAGACUCUAGCCUGCUAACUAGGCGAUUUCCGGUACCCACAAUAGUGUUACCGGCGAUUCAAUUUCUUCUUAGAGGGACAGGCGGCUCCUAGCCGCACGAGACUGAGCAAUAACAGGUCUGUGAUGCCCUUAGAUGUCCUGGGCCGCACGCGCGCUACACUGAAGGAAUCAGCGUGUCUCCCCUGGCCGACAGGCCCGGGUAACCCGUUGAACCUCCUUCGUGCUAGGGAUUGGGGCUUGCAAUUGUUCCCCAUGAACGAGGAAUUCCCAGUAAGCGCGAGUCAUAAGCUCGCGUUGAUUACGUCCCUGCCCUUUGUACACACCGCCCGUCGCUACUACCGAUUGAAUGAUUUAGUGAGGUCUUCGGACUGGUGCGCGGCGAUCGGUUCUGCCGGUCGCCGAUGUUGCCGGAAAGAUGACCAAACUUGAUCAUUUAGAGGAAGUAAAAGU